AGUAAUAUAUCGGAACGUACCCAAGAGUGGGGGAUAACGUAGCGAAAGUUACGCUAAUACCGCAUACGAUCUAAGGAUGAAAGCAGGGGACCGCAAGGCCUUGUGCUCCUGGAGCGGCCGAUAUCUGAUUAGCUAGUUGGUAGGGUAAAGGCCUACCAAGGCUACGAUCAGUAGCUGGUCUGAGAGGACGACCAGCCACACUGGAACUGAGACACGGUCCGG
RNAcentral lists this ribosomal RNA (222 nucleotides) under uncultured bacterium. RNAcentral describes it as "partial 16S ribosomal RNA". It matches the Rfam family "Bacterial small subunit ribosomal RNA", at positions 109 to 334 of the family's 1533-position model. The record is from RNAcentral.